UUCUAGGGUUCAUACCCCGAUUUUAAUCUUCCUCGAAUUCUCCCCAAUGGAGCCUUGUUCCCAGUGUCCUUGUAUCUAUGGAGAAAAUGGAGACGGAGUUCAAGGUUAUGGUAGAGAAGAAACAGACGAACGUGCUUCCUCUUCAUAUCCGGAUCUUCUAAUUGAGUCUAUCAAUGUGCUGAAAACUGCUCAGGAAGCACUAGAAAAUGAAGUGCUAAAGUUCAAGGAAAUCAGCCAACCUACUUCUGUGAAAUUUAUUAUUUUGGACGCGAAUCCUGAGUUUACGGAUGCUGGAGCCGAAUUUCGUGAAACAAGCUUCGUGCAGUUGCCAAUUAGUGAAGGUAUACCUGAUUCUCCUUGGACAUUACUCUCCAAGUUGAUGGAAAUCGAAAACAGAGAUGAACAACGAGAACUUGAGAAUCUGUUUGUGCAAAGGAUUGAAGCAGAAGUUGAGUAUAUCCUAAUAUAAAAAAUGGUUCAGAACCGUAGGGUUGGAACAUUUGCAGAGCAGUGCGAAAUGUUAUACAAGUCCGGAGAUAAAACCACGACAUUUAAGAAAGAUUCUUGGAAGAGGGUAAAAUGUGAAUUCAUUACUAGUGCUGAUGAAACACUGAAGCUACAGAAGAGGGUGUGUGUGCACACUUCGUAUUUUUCUUUGCAGUUAUUCUUGUUGCUUGUGAUUUUGGGAGUCCUUAUCUUCCAAUUUUCACCAAAUUACAUUGAGUUCAUUCCCGCAUGAUUUUGAGGCGAGCUCACCUUUUUGGGGAGCUCAUUUGCAGAUAAAUGUCAAGUAGCAGUUCUUGAUUUUUUUCGGAUUGUUCAAUAGCUGAUCCGCUGCAUUCAUUUGCAAUGCUAUACAUGCUAUCUUAAAUGAAGGUGAUUCACUGGUGAUGAGAAACCUCAGCUCUUCAAAAAAGAAGUUGGAGCAUAUUAUCAUGUAGUGGUGAUGCCAUGGCCUUAGAGAAUUGAGAUGGAAGGGAAGACAAGUUUGAACCUCAAAUGCCCAUUGAAGCACCAACUUAGAAAGUAAUCUCAAACAUUGUCAACAUAAUUUUUCCUCCAUUGCCUGUGGAGGCUGGGGUAGUGAAAUAAUCAACUUUAACCAUGCAGUCGCUCUAAUUGUUGCAUCA
Salvia splendens (bonfire salvia) is the source of this 1130-nucleotide RNA transcript. RefSeq lists it as uncharacterized. The record is from RefSeq and is a predicted model, not a curated record. Lineage: Eukaryota; Viridiplantae; Streptophyta; Magnoliopsida; Lamiales; Lamiaceae. The transcript is spliced from 4 exons.